UUUGACUCUUCGUUUUAUUUAAAAUUUUUUGUGAUUACUAUUUUUGUUGUUACUAAAUGAUAAAAUAUAAAUAGUACUUUAUACGUGACUAAUUUUUUAAAAUUUCUAUACAAAAUUUUUAAAUAAGAUGAAUAGUCAAA
RNAcentral lists this microRNA precursor (140 nucleotides) under Oryza brachyantha (malo sina). RNAcentral's name for it is "MIR812 microRNA precursor family". It matches the Rfam family "MIR812 microRNA precursor family", at positions 33 to 173 of the family's 205-position model. The record is from Rfam by way of RNAcentral. Lineage: Eukaryota; Viridiplantae; Streptophyta; Magnoliopsida; Poales; Poaceae.